UACAGAGGUCUCAAGCGUUGUUCGGAUUCAUUGGGCGUAAAGGGUGCAUAGGUGGCGAGGCAAGUCGGAUGUGAAAUCCCGGGGCUCAACCCCGGAACUGCAUUCGAUACUGCCUUGCUAGAGUACUGGAGAGGAGAUUGGAAUUUACGGUGUAGCAGUGAAAUGCGUAGAUAUCGUAAGGAAGACCAGUGGCGAAGGCGGAUCUCUGGACAGUUACUGACACUGAGGCACGAAGGCCAGGGGAGCAAACGGG
Molecule: ribosomal RNA, 253 nt
Filed under: uncultured bacterium
Lineage: Bacteria
Description: partial 16S ribosomal RNA
Rfam family: Bacterial small subunit ribosomal RNA
Source: RNAcentral